This 36-nucleotide small RNA is filed under the name Propionibacterium ruminifibrarum. RNAcentral describes it as "Propionibacterium sp. JV5 CRISPR_Spacer". The record is from RNAcentral. Lineage: Bacteria; Bacillati; Actinomycetota; Actinomycetes; Propionibacteriales; Propionibacteriaceae.
CGUCGAUGCGCAUGGUGACGUCCCAGCCCUGCUCGC